GGUUGAUCCUGCCAGUAGUCAUAUGCUUGUCUCAAAGAUUAAGCCAUGCAUGUCUAAGUAUAAGCAUUUAUACAGUGAAACUGCGAAUGGCUCAUUAAAUCAGUUAUCGUUUAUUUGAUAGUACAUUACUACUUGGAUAACCGUGGUAAUUCUAGAGCUAAUACAUGCUAAAAGUCCUGGCCUCCGGUCAGGAUGUAUUUAUUAGAUAAAAAACCAAUGUCUUUUGACUCCUUGGUGAUUCAUAAUAACUUGUCGAAUCGCAUGGCCUUGCGCCGGCGAUGGUUCAUUCA
Molecule: ribosomal RNA, 290 nt
Filed under: uncultured eukaryote
Lineage: Eukaryota
Description: partial 18S ribosomal RNA
Rfam family: Eukaryotic small subunit ribosomal RNA
Source: RNAcentral